Non-coding RNA from Macaca mulatta (Rhesus monkey), 599 nucleotides. NCBI's taxonomy places the organism in Eukaryota, Metazoa, Chordata, Mammalia, Primates, Cercopithecidae. The record is from RefSeq and is a predicted model, not a curated record.
UCUCCGUGUGAGCAGUUUGUCUCUCCAGUAAAUUGCGUAUAGCAGUAAAAAGUGGUCUCUUGUGAUUGUUGCGUAUUUUCCAUUAUGCUUAGUGCCAUACUGUAAAUCUUGAAUAACAUUAUGGGACCCAUACGAAGUGCCACUAGUGAUGCUGGAAGUGCUCCCAAGAAGCAUAGAAUCGUCAUGAUAUUACAAGAAAAAGUUGACUUUCAGACAGAUGAUUCAUCCAAUAAACAGACCAUGUAAAUCACUGUAAGCUAUUUGGCAUAUGAAGGUCUUGACCUAAGAAAACCAUCUUGGAUAACCACAGCAAGGAAAAGGAAAAAUGCAACACCUAGGAGAUUUCAGUAAACAGUAGAAUCAUGCCAACCUAAUCUGUGUUAAAAUGCUUGGAAUGUGGGAGCCGCUGAUGAUGCCUGUUGUCUGUGUGUCUGACUGAAUCCUUUCUUUUCUCAGAGCAGCAAAGCAAAGCCUGGGAACCAGGCCAAAUGCCUGCCACUUACCUUAAAUUGAUCAGCCACUUUGAGAUUAAAACCCCUGAAAGCUGCCACACCGUGAAAACAAGGCCUCCUUCACAUUAAAGGCAAAUUGCGACUUUG